RNAcentral lists this ribosomal RNA (468 nucleotides) under uncultured bacterium. Its description in RNAcentral is "partial 16S ribosomal RNA". It matches the Rfam family "Bacterial small subunit ribosomal RNA", at positions 28 to 507 of the family's 1533-position model. The record is from RNAcentral.
GACGAACGCUGGCGGCGUGCUUAACACAUGCAAGUCGAACGGAGAGGCCCUGCUUUUGUGGGGUGCUCGAGUGGCGAACGGGUGAGUAACACGUGAGUAACCUGCCCUUGACUUUGGGAUAACUUCGGGAAACUGGCGCUAAUACCGGAUAGGAGCUCCUGCUGCAUGGUGGGGGUUGGAAAGUUUCGGCGGUUGGGGAUGGACUCGCGGCUUAUCAGCUUGUUGGUGGGGUAGUGGCUUACCAAGGCUUUGACGGGUAGCCGGCCUGAGAGGGUGACCGGCCACAUUGGGACUGAGAUACGGCCCAGACUCGUACGGGAGGCAGCAGUGGGGAAUAUUGCACAAUGGGCGGAAGCCUGAUGCAGCAACGCCGCGUGCGGGAUGACGGCCUUCGGGUUGUAAACCGCUUUCGCCUGUGACGAAGCGUGAGUGACGGUAAUGGGUAAAGAAGCACCGGCUAACUACGUG